Molecule: non-coding RNA, 23 nt
Filed under: Arabidopsis thaliana (thale cress)
Lineage: Eukaryota; Viridiplantae; Streptophyta; Magnoliopsida; Brassicales; Brassicaceae
Source: RNAcentral
AAGAUAUCUCCGGUGAAGAAUCC